CUCGGGUUGAUCCCGCCGGACCCGACUGCUAUCAGAGUGAGAUUAAGCCAUGCGAGUUAACGUAGCAAUACGUGGCGCACGGCUCAGUAACACGUAGUCAACAUGCCCAGAGGACGUGGAUAACCUCGGGAAACUGAGUCUAAACCGCGAUAAGUGAGGAUUUCUGGAAUGGUUCCUGACUAAAAUCUAUAUGGCCUCUGGAUUGGACUGCGGCCGAUCAGGCUGUUGGUGAGGUAAUGGCCCACCAAACCUGUAACCGGUACGGGCUCUGAGAGGAGGAGCCCGGAGAUGGGCACUGAGACAAGGGCCCAGGCCCUAUGGGGCGCAGCAGGCGCGAAACCUCUGCAAUAGGCGAAAGCUUGACAGGGUUACUCUGAGUGAUUUCCGUUAAGGAGAUCUUUUGGCACCUCUAAAAAUGGUGCAGAAUAAGGGGUGGGCAAGUCUGGUGUCAGCCGCCGCGGUAAUACCAGCACCCCGAGUGGUCGGGACGUUUAUUGGGCCUAAAGCAUCCGUAGCCGGUUCUACAAGUCUUCCGUUAAAUCCACCUGCUUAACAGAUGGGCUGCGGAAGAUACUAUAGAGCUAGGAGGCGGGAGAGGCAAGCGGUACUCGAUGGGUAGGGGUAAAAUCCGUUGAUCCAUUGAAGACCACCAGUGGCGAAGGCGGCUUGCCAGAACGCGCUCGACGGUGAGGGAUGAAAGCUGGGGGAGCAAACCGGAUUAGAUACCCGGGUAGUCCCAGCUGUAAACGAUGCAGACUCGGUGAUGAGUUGGCUUAUUGCUAACUCAGUGCCGCAGGGAAGCCGUUAAGUUUGCCGCCUGGGGAGUACGGUCGCAAGACUGAAACUUAAAGGAAUUUGGCGGGGAGCA
RNAcentral lists this ribosomal RNA (868 nucleotides) under uncultured archaeon. Its description in RNAcentral is "bacterial SSU rRNA". It matches the Rfam family "Archaeal small subunit ribosomal RNA", at positions 1 to 878 of the family's 1478-position model. The record is from RNAcentral.